UGUAAAUUCAUUGGUAAUUAGUUGACUUUACGUACUUACGACAACAUAAGUUUCUCCAAUCUCUUGGAGUUGGAACUACAAGUCUACAAAAGCCGUUAUUGACCCUUCGCCAUGUUCAAAGGUUCUUCUCUUUGGAGUAUAUUCAAUUUAGAAAACUGUUUUUUUUUUGGGACAAAAAAAAGUGCGUUGCUUAUGCAAAUGGCUCAGUGGCGAAUUUUCCAAGAAUUUUGACCUAAUUAGAGAAAUUUUAGCUCACAUCAUGUUCCACUCUUUGUCGGAAUUAGUCUCAAACUACUACUUAAAGGUAAACUUAGGUUUAUUCGCUUAUAAAUACAACAUGCAAACGAAUCAUAAUUUAAUGAAACUAGCUAGUCCAAAUACAAAUACAAUUUUGGAAGAAUAAUCGUGAUUUCAUAUAAAGUAGCCAUUGCAUCACUCCAAUUUUCAAAGAAAAUUAUACUUUAUUUUGUAGCUUCUUUUUUUUUCUUCUAAUGGUCAUAAAGAAAAUCUGCCUGCGUAUCUUUUUGCUUUAUGAUUAAUUAGACACUAGGUGGUUGUCCGCGAAUUCGCGGAUAUAAAUAUUGUAUAAAAAUAUACAUUAAGUAUAAAAUUUCGAAAAAUUUCCAUAAAUUUGAUGCAAAAAUAUCUGAUAAAUGUUUAGUAAUAACAAAUGUUUAUGAAAUUAUAUAUGUAAAUAUCAUAUUUACUUCUCCUAUUCUUAUUUUUUAAUACAUAUUAUAAAAUAAAUAAACCAAAAAUCCAUCUUACACUACAAAAAAAGGUAUGUAUUGUAUCACUUAAAUGGAAUCACAUAAAUAAAUGAUGUUAUUUUAAAUCACUUAUUUGUAAAUGAUACACAUAUAUAUAUAAUUUUAAAUCAGUUCUAAUAAUUGAUAGUAUAAUUAACUAAUUCGACAUCAUUUCAAUAAAAUGAUAUAAACUUUAUUAAUUUGUAUCAUUUAAACAAAAAUGAUAUGAUUCUAUACAUUUAUAUCAAUUAAAUCAUUGAUGUAAUUAUUAUUUUUGGUUAGCAUCACUUAUUAAUAUGAUAUAAAAUUCACAUCAAUAAAAAUUGAUGCGAAAAAAAUAUAUAACUGUGUUUUUCUUUAACGUCAAUUAAGUUAAAAUGAUGUUCUUUUAUUUAAAUUUUGCAUCAGUUAAUACCACUACAAAACUUAAAAAAAAAACAAUUUACUUGAACGAUUACAAAAAUAUCUCACACUUCAAAAUCCAAAGAUUACGGAAGUAGUUACUAUUCUUAUAGCUUUAAUUUAAUUGGAGCUUUAAUUUCUUUUAUAACUCUUCACUUCAAAAAUUAAGCAUCUUCGUCUUUUUGUUGUGAAUGCUCAUUCAGGGGUUCUUCUUCCUCUUUUAGUUUCUCAAACUUUCUUGUCUUAUGAGUCAUAAUGAUGGGUAUUGUUCUUAUGCAGGGUUGCUAUUUAGAUUCGGGGAAAAUUUUCUGAAGAAGUAUAUCUUUCUUUUUUUCUUCUUCAUCUUUUUUUUUCAUUUGUUGAAAAAUUAUACUUACAUAUUUUUGGUAGAAUGGUUUUUCUUUGUUAGGAAACAGAACGUCUCAAGACAUAAGAGAGAUGCGUCUACUCAAAAUCUAAAAGUAAGUAAAACUCUAAAGAAAUAGCAGUUGAUGAAGAAUUUUCUGAUGAAUCUCCUCCACUUCACUGCUAAAUCGAUUCAUUUUCACACCAUAAACAGAGACAUUAGAGAUAAAAACAUAGAUACAAGGAAUGAGGAUAAAAAGAAGAAGAAUUUCGAUUGAUGGACGCAUGAAGCUCUUUAUGGUAAAUUUCACCUAACUGUUUUACAAAUAUUUUCUAUGGUUCUUUGAAUUCCUCUUCUUCCAUCUUGUUUAAUGUUUCUCUCUAUAUUUGUUCUUUAGUUUUUUUCUUCUUCGUAAGAUUUAUUGUAUUUCAAUUAAAAAUUAAUGAAUAUUUAAUUUAUUUAUCCACUGAUAUUAUUUAACGUCAAUUAUGUACAAAUAAAAAAAUAAAACGUAAUUAUAAACAAUAAAAUAUUAAAAUAAUUUUGAUGUUUUGAUAUUAAUUUAAUUUCAGUUAUUAAUAAAUAAUUAAAAUCAGUUGUUUCAAUUGAUGUUAAUACUUACAUCAUUCAGAAAAACUGAUUUAAUUUUGGUAUCAUUUUGUAUAAUUGAUGCAUAUUAGUAUCACUUGCAAUUAAUGACAUAAAUAUUAAUUAUUUUUGUAUCAUUUAUCUAUAUAAUGAUGAAAAUCAUUUGAAUCAUCAAUUUCCGAGUCAUUUAUCUAAGCGAUGUAAAAUUCUUUUACAUCAUUUAAAACUAAUGCAAAUAUUUAAAUUAAGUGAUGUUAAAUGACUAUUUUUUUGUAGUGCUAUAAUUCGUUUCAAUCAUAGUAUUACCUUAUUCACUAAAUUAAUUUAUUUAAAUGAAAAAUAUUUUUUAAUCAAAGUUCUCACAUGUUCCGUUCAAUAUAAUUCGGCUAAUCUUCAAAACCUAAUUAUUUAUAAAGCAUAUAUGAACAAUAUAAGAGAUUAAUAAUAAUAAAAUAUAUGAUUAUAUUUUUAUAUGAAUAUGAAAUCAUUAUAUGGAUUUCUAUAAAUUGUGUUCUAUUAAUUCACCGUCCAAACUAAACUAAAAUAAAUAAAAUUAAAAAUUAUCAACCAAGAAAAUUAUAAAAAAUUUCUUAAGACUUCACAAAUGAUCGACUUGUAAGCCAAAGUCACUUAAGUGAUUUUUCGUUUACUAUAUAUGCGUAUUUAUAUUUUUCGUAAAUGUCUUAUAAAUUCUUAUAAACAAUUUAAAAUUAUGAUAAAAUAAUUUUGUAAGCCAUGAUAAAUAAUUUUAUAAUUUUUUUAGUAAAAGUCUUAUAAGACAUAUAUGGACAUUGUAAUACAUUAAUUAAUACUUAUUAUAAUACUAUGCAAAUAUAGUGUUUUAUAUUAAAAAUUAUUAAAUCAUUAUAUUGAUUUCGAUAAAUUGUGUUCUAUUAAUUAUUUUAUGUUGUAUAUAGAUACAAUAGAAAUUAAUCAAACAUUAUUACACUUUCUAUAAUUUAAAAAAUUAGUUACCAUAAAUUAUUAUUUGUAAUAUCAUUUAGAUUAUUUGGUAAGUGACACUAAUUAGUUUUAGACUUACUUUUUAUUUUAAAUCAAAUUAAAAUAAUUGAAAAUCUCUUAACCAAUCAAGUUAUAACAUUUCGAAGGAACCGGACUUUUGACGAACCAGCCCUUUUUUAUCUUGAUCCUUUCUUAAACUCUCUCUAUCAUUGAUAACUAAACAAAAAAUUACUUAAUUGACUUUUCAUUUAAUAUACAGGAGGAUGAUAUUCUUUAAGGCUGUUUUUGUCGCUUCUGUUGUGGCAUACUUAUCCAAAAUACUACUACAGCUUUUAUAGUUCUGUCGUUCGUACAAUUAUCUCUCUGGCGGCUAGACCUAAUCCCUCGACGAGAGUGGACCUACUCUCCUCACAUUCCUGAGUACGGUUUCCGGGUUUGACACACCCAUUGGCACUGCACCAUCAGAAGAACUCAGGAGAAUAUGGAAUGAAAAGAAAAAAACAAUUAGAAGAACGUGAUGGUAAGUCUCUAAUAUUAUGUGAAGCUGUGCAUCGACGAACACUUGCAAACCUACCAACAACUAAUUAAGUGAUGCCUCUAAGGGAAUGUAAGUGAUAGUUAGCCUUGUAUUUGCAGUGGUAUAGUGUUGUACGAUGCUUUCAUUUUUACCAUGUAUGAGGAUUCAGUUGCAAUGCGUUGCGUGAUAGUAUCUAAAUCGUAUCAGACUAAAACUUUGCA
Brassica napus (rape) is the source of this 3786-nucleotide long non-coding RNA. RefSeq lists it as uncharacterized. Lineage: Eukaryota; Viridiplantae; Streptophyta; Magnoliopsida; Brassicales; Brassicaceae. The record is from RefSeq and is a predicted model, not a curated record. The transcript has 2 exons.